AGAGCGAACGCUGGCGGCAGGCCUAACACAUGCAAGUCGAGCGCCCGUAGCAAUACGGGAGCGGCAGACGGGAUAGUAACACGUGGGAACGCGCCCUUCGGUUCGGAAUAACUCAGGGAAACUUGAGCUAAUACCGGAUACGCCCUUACGGGGAAAGAUUUAUUGCCGAAGGAACGGCCCGCGUCCGAUUAGCUAGUUGGUGAGGUAAUGGCUCACCAAGGCGACGAUCGGUAGCUGGUCUGAGAGGAUGAUCAGCCACAUUGGGACUGAGACACGGCCCAAACUCCUACGGGAGGCAGCAGUGGGGAAUAUUGGACAAUGGGCGAAAGCCUGAUCCAGCCAUGCCGCGUGAGUGAUGAAGGCCUUAGGGUUGUAAAGCUCUUUCACCCACGACGAUAAUGACGGUAGUGGGAGAAGAAGCCCGGCUAACUUCGUGCCAGCAGCCGC
Molecule: ribosomal RNA, 447 nt
Filed under: uncultured bacterium
Lineage: Bacteria
Description: SSU rRNA
Rfam family: Bacterial small subunit ribosomal RNA
Source: RNAcentral